Molecule: transfer RNA, 73 nt
Filed under: Acholeplasma brassicae
Lineage: Bacteria; Bacillati; Mycoplasmatota; Mollicutes; Acholeplasmatales; Acholeplasmataceae
Rfam family: tRNA
About the family: Transfer RNA (tRNA) molecules are approximately 80 nucleotides in length. Their secondary structure includes four short double-helical elements and three loops (D, anti-codon, and T loops). Further hydrogen bonds mediate the characteristic L-shaped molecular structure. tRNAs have two regions of fundamental functional importance: the anti-codon, which is responsible for specific mRNA codon recognition, and the 3' end, to which the tRNAs corresponding amino acid is attached (by aminoacyl-tRNA synthetases). tRNAs cope with the degeneracy of the genetic code in two manners: having more than one tRNA (with a specific anti-codon) for a particular amino acid; and 'wobble' base-pairing, i.e. permitting non-standard base-pairing at the 3rd anti-codon position.
Source: Rfam by way of RNAcentral
GGCUCUGUAGCUCAGUCGGUAGAGCAACGGACUGAAAAUCCGUGUGUCGGCGGUUCAAUUCCGCCCGGAGCCA